ACGCUGGCGGCAGGCCUAACACAUGCAAGUCGAACGGUAACAAGAAGCAGCUUGCUGCUUCGCUGACGAGUGGCGGACGGGUGAGUAAUGUCUGGGAAACUGCCUGAUGGAGGGGGAUAACUACUGGAAUCGGUAGCUAAUACCGCAUAACGUCGCAAGACCAAAGAGGGGGACCUUCGGGCCUCUUGCCAUCAGAUGUGCCCAGAUGGGAUUAGCUAGUAGGUGGGGUAACGGCUCACCUAGGCGACGAUCCCUAGCUGGUCUGAGAGGAUGACCAGCCACACUGGAACUGAGACACGGUCCAGACUCCUACGGGAGGCAGCAGUGGGGAAUAUUGCACAAUGGGCGCAAGCCUGAUGCAGCCAUGCCGCGUGUAUGAAGAAGGCCUUCGGGUUGUAAAGUACUUUCAGCGGGGAGGAAGGCGAUGCGGUUAAUAACCGCGUCGAUUGACGUUACCCGCAGAAGAAGCACCGG
Molecule: ribosomal RNA, 474 nt
Filed under: Enterobacter sp. Z3NS-263
Lineage: Bacteria; Pseudomonadati; Pseudomonadota; Gammaproteobacteria; Enterobacterales; Enterobacteriaceae
Description: bacterial SSU rRNA
Rfam family: Bacterial small subunit ribosomal RNA
Source: RNAcentral